This 253-nucleotide ribosomal RNA is filed under the name uncultured bacterium. RNAcentral describes it as "partial 16S ribosomal RNA". It matches the Rfam family "Bacterial small subunit ribosomal RNA", at positions 524 to 776 of the family's 1533-position model. The record is from RNAcentral.
UACGUAGGGGGCAAGCGUUGUCCGGAUUUAUUGGGCGUAAAGAGCGUGUAGGCGGUUUGGUAGGUCCGCUGUGAAAACUCGAGGCUCAACCUCGAGACGCCGGUGGAAACCAUCAGACUAGAGUCCGGAAGAGGAGAGUGGAAUUCCUGGUGUAGCGGUGAAAUGCGCAGAUAUCAGGAAGAACACCCGUGGCUAAGGCGGCUCUCUAGAACGCAACUGACGCUGAGACGCGAAAGCGUGGGGAGCAAACAGG